This 493-nucleotide ribosomal RNA is filed under the name uncultured bacterium. Its description in RNAcentral is "partial 16S ribosomal RNA". It matches the Rfam family "Bacterial small subunit ribosomal RNA", at positions 29 to 523 of the family's 1533-position model. The record is from RNAcentral.
AUUGAACGCUGGCGGCAUGCUUUACACAUGCAAGUCGAACGGUAACAGGUUAAGCUGACGAGUGGCGAACGGGUGAGUAAUGCAUCGGAACGUGCCCGGUCGUGGGGGAUAACGCAGCGAGAGCUGCGCUAAUACCGCAUACGAUCUGAGGAUGAAAGCGGGGGACCGUAAGGCCUCGCGCGAUCGGAGCGGCCGAUGUCAGAUUAGGUAGUUGGUGGGGUAAAGGCUCACCAAGCCAACGAUCUGUAGCUGGUCUGAGAGGACGACCAGCCACAGUGGGACUGAGACACGGCCCAGACUCCUACGGGAGGCAGCAGUGGGGAAUUUUGGACAAUGGGCGAAAGCCUGAUCCAGCAAUGCCGCGUGCAGGAAGAAGGCCUUCGGGUUGUAAACUGCUUUUGUACGGAGCGAAAAGGUCUCCUCUAAUACAGGGGGCUCAUGACGGUACCGUAAGAAUAAGCACCGGCUAACUACGUGCCAGCAGCCGCCGUAA